Molecule: ribosomal RNA, 240 nt
Filed under: Amphipoda sp. 3 HR-2015
Lineage: Eukaryota; Metazoa; Arthropoda; Malacostraca; Amphipoda
Description: partial 16S ribosomal RNA
Source: RNAcentral
CCCUAAAAGCUUUAUGGAGUAGAUUUGUUUAGAAGAAAGUUAAAAAGUGUUUAGCUGGGGUAGUUGUUAUGGUCGAGUUAUAAUUAGAAAAGACAAGGAAAAAUGAGUUAUAGGUCCUUUAGAUAAGGAAAACUUGAGUUAGUUACUUUAGGGAUAACAGCGCAAUAACUUCGGGGAGACCUUAUUUAUGAAGUUGAUUACGACCUCGAUGUUGAAUUAAAAGUUCGUGAGAAGCAAAAG